RNAcentral lists this ribosomal RNA (253 nucleotides) under uncultured bacterium. RNAcentral's name for it is "partial 16S ribosomal RNA". It matches the Rfam family "Bacterial small subunit ribosomal RNA", at positions 524 to 776 of the family's 1533-position model. The record is from RNAcentral.
UACGGGGGGGGCAAGCGUUGUUCGGAAUUACUGGGCGUAAAGGGCUCGUAGGCGGCCAACUAAGUCAGACGUGAAAUCCCCAGGCUUAACCUGGGAACUGCGUCUGAUACUGGAUGGCUUGAAUUCGGGAGAGGGAUGCAGAAUUCCAGGUGUAGCGGUGAAAUGCGUAGAGAUCGGGAGGAACACCUGUGGCGAAGGCGGCCGACUGGGCCGACCCUGACGCUGAGGCGCGAAGGCGUGGGGAGCGAACGGG